GCAUGGUAGCUCAGUGGUAGAAUCCUCGCCUUCCAUGUGGGAGACCUGAGUUAGAUUCCCAGCCAGUGCA
Molecule: transfer RNA, 70 nt
Filed under: Loxodonta africana (African savanna elephant)
Lineage: Eukaryota; Metazoa; Chordata; Mammalia; Proboscidea; Elephantidae
Rfam family: tRNA
About the family: Transfer RNA (tRNA) molecules are approximately 80 nucleotides in length. Their secondary structure includes four short double-helical elements and three loops (D, anti-codon, and T loops). Further hydrogen bonds mediate the characteristic L-shaped molecular structure. tRNAs have two regions of fundamental functional importance: the anti-codon, which is responsible for specific mRNA codon recognition, and the 3' end, to which the tRNAs corresponding amino acid is attached (by aminoacyl-tRNA synthetases). tRNAs cope with the degeneracy of the genetic code in two manners: having more than one tRNA (with a specific anti-codon) for a particular amino acid; and 'wobble' base-pairing, i.e. permitting non-standard base-pairing at the 3rd anti-codon position.
Source: Rfam by way of RNAcentral